Molecule: ribosomal RNA, 406 nt
Filed under: uncultured bacterium
Lineage: Bacteria
Description: partial 16S ribosomal RNA
Rfam family: Bacterial small subunit ribosomal RNA
Source: RNAcentral
AUUGAACGCUGGCGGCAGGCUUAACACAUGCAAGUCGAGCGAGCGGCGGACGGGUGAGGAAUGUCUGGGCAACUGCCUGAUGGAGGGGGAUAACUACUGGAAACGGUAACUAAUACCGCAUACCAUCAUCUGAUCCCAGAUGGGUUAAGCUAGUGGGUGUGGUAAUGGCUCACCUCGGCGACGAUCCCUAGCUGGUCUGCUAGGAUGACCAGCCACACUGGAACUGGGACACGGUCCAGACUCCUAGGGGAGGCAGCAGUGGGGAAUAUUGCACAAGGGGCGCAAGCCUGAUGCGGCCAUGCCGCGUGUGUGAAGAAGGCCUUCGGGUUGUAAAGCACUUUCAGCGGGGAGGCGUUACUCGCAGAAGAAGCACCGGCUAACUCCGUGCCAGCAGCCGCGGUAAUUC